CCUCAAGCUUUUCCCACAUAUCUUUGGCAGUUGUGCAGCAGGAAAUUUUCCGAUAGUCAUCCGGGUUCAAAGCACUAUACAACAUAUUGAUUGCCUUGGCGUUGUAUUCAUUUACCAUGGCUUCCCCAACUUUUGUCGACAUUUGUUCACCGUGCUUGAUGAUUUUCCAUAGACGAAAGUUGUUUGAUUGGAUGAAGAUUCUCAUCCGCUCUUUCCAAUAUGUGUAAUUGCUUCCAUCAAAUAGUGGAGGCAAAAUG
This 257-nucleotide long non-coding RNA is filed under the name Nicotiana benthamiana. Its description in RNAcentral is "long non-coding RNA (NBEN_LNC012489)". The record is from RNAcentral. Lineage: Eukaryota; Viridiplantae; Streptophyta; Magnoliopsida; Solanales; Solanaceae.